This 211-nucleotide non-coding RNA is filed under the name Dorea formicigenerans. RNAcentral also lists the same sequence under 1 other name. Lineage: Bacteria; Bacillati; Bacillota; Clostridia; Lachnospirales; Lachnospiraceae. The record is from RNAcentral.
AAAUUAUGAAGAACGUUCGGUGCUGUUUCAUUGUGAGAACAGGUAAAAGGGAAACAGGUGAGAAGCCUGUACGAACUCGUCACUGUAAAUAGAUAUGUAGAAUCAUAGGCUGCGGAUAAUCUGACAAGGCAGCUCAUCCACUGGGAAACUGGGAAGGAGAUUUUAUGUGAACUCUAUAAGUCAGGAAACCUGCCGGUCGUUGGUACAUGGA